GGAGAGAUGCCCGAGAGGCCGAAGGGGCACGACUGGAAAUCGUGCGUACCGUCAGGUACCGAGGGUUCGAAUCCCUCUCUCUCCG
RNAcentral lists this transfer RNA (85 nucleotides) under Deltaproteobacteria bacterium. Its description in RNAcentral is "tRNA-Ser". It matches the Rfam family "tRNA". Rfam says of the family: Transfer RNA (tRNA) molecules are approximately 80 nucleotides in length. Their secondary structure includes four short double-helical elements and three loops (D, anti-codon, and T loops). Further hydrogen bonds mediate the characteristic L-shaped molecular structure. tRNAs have two regions of fundamental functional importance: the anti-codon, which is responsible for specific mRNA codon recognition, and the 3' end, to which the tRNAs corresponding amino acid is attached (by aminoacyl-tRNA synthetases). tRNAs cope with the degeneracy of the genetic code in two manners: having more than one tRNA (with a specific anti-codon) for a particular amino acid; and 'wobble' base-pairing, i.e. permitting non-standard base-pairing at the 3rd anti-codon position. The record is from RNAcentral. RNAcentral also lists the same sequence under 1 other name. Lineage: Bacteria; Pseudomonadati; Myxococcota; Myxococcia.